CUCCGGUGAUCCCUGCCGGACCCGACUGCUAUCGGAUUGAGAUUUAGCCAUGCGAGUCGAACGUCCCCCUGUUGCGGGGGACGUGGCAUACGGCUCAGUAACACGUAGUCAACAUGCCCAGGGGACGAGGAUAACCUCGGGAAACUGAGGAUAAACCUCGAUAGGCCAUGAUUUCUGGAAUGAUUCUUGGCUCAAACCUAUAUGGCCCCUGGAUUGGACUGCGGCCGAUCAGGCUGUUGGUGAGGUAAUGGCCCACCAAACCUAUUACCGGUACGGGCUCUGAGAGGAGGAGCCCGGAGAUGGGCACUGAGACAAGGGCCCAGGCCCUAUGGGGCGCAGCAGGCGCGAAACCUCUGCAAUAGGCGAAAGCUUGACAGGGUUACUCUGAGUGAUUUCCGCUAAGGGAAUCUUUUGGCACCUCUAAAAAUGGUGCAGAAUAAGGGGUGGGCAAGUCUGGUGUCAGCCGCCGCGGUAAUACCAGCACCCCGAGUGGUCGGGACGAUUAUUGGGCCUAAAGCAUCCGUAGCCGGUCCUGCAAGUCUUCCGUUAAAUCCAGCUGCUCAACAGAUGGGCUGCGGGAGAUACUACAGGGCUAGGAGGCGGGAGAGGCAAGCGGUACUUUAUGGGUAGGGGUAAAAUCCGCUGAUCCAUAGAAGACCACCAGUGGCGAAGGCGGCUUGCCAGAACGCGCUCGACGGUGAGGGAUGAAAGCUGGGGGAGCAAACCGGAUUAGAUACCCGGGUAGUCCCAGCUGUAAACGAUGCAGACUCGGUGAUGAGUUGGCUUAUUGCUAACUCAGUGCCGCAGGGAAGCCGUUAAGUUUGCCGCCUGGGGAGUACGGUCGCAAGACUGAAACUUAAAGGAAUUGGCGGGGGAGCA
Molecule: ribosomal RNA, 879 nt
Filed under: uncultured archaeon
Lineage: Archaea
Description: bacterial SSU rRNA
Rfam family: Archaeal small subunit ribosomal RNA
Source: RNAcentral